Molecule: long non-coding RNA, 356 nt
Organism: Saccostrea cuccullata (small rock oyster)
Lineage: Eukaryota; Metazoa; Mollusca; Bivalvia; Ostreida; Ostreidae
Exons: 3
Source: RefSeq, a predicted model, not a curated record
AGUUUAUAGCGGAAGCUAGAUUAUCGGCGGAAUUAUCGUUAUUAAAUAAAUGAAAAAGAAAAUGCCAUAAUUUUGAUGAUUUGAAGGAAUUGUUGAUAUGCAGAUAUAGAUAGAAUUAUCUUGGAAAUGACAAAACGAAAGAGAGCAACAAAAGACACCUCCCUAUCGGAGGAGAGCGAGGGCUCGAUGGGGGAUAGUGAGGCAGAGAGUGUCACAGAGGUCAGAGUCACAAGGAGAUCAGCGGCAGGCCUGACCUCUCCACCCACAUUACCACCACCAAAGAAAAAAAGAAAGACCAAUGCUUCAGAAUCCUUGUCGGAGUCUGAGAGUGAACUCCCACCCAGCAAAUCAAGUCG